This 447-nucleotide ribosomal RNA is filed under the name Macrobrachium callirrhoe. RNAcentral's name for it is "partial 16S rRNA". It matches the Rfam family "Bacterial large subunit ribosomal RNA", at positions 1944 to 2601 of the family's 2925-position model. The record is from RNAcentral. Lineage: Eukaryota; Metazoa; Arthropoda; Malacostraca; Decapoda; Palaemonidae.
GACCGUGCGAAGGUAGCAUAAUCAGUAGUCCUUUAAUUGGGGGCUUGAAUGAAGGGUUGGACGAGAGGCAAGCUGUCUCUUUUGUGAAGUUUGAAUUUAACUUUUGAGUGAAAAGGCUUAAAUAANUUAGGGGGACGAUAAGACCCUAUAAAACUUAAUNUAUNUUUAAUUUNACUUUGAUUUAGGUGAAAAGUAGUUUUGUUUAAAUUUAUAUUUUGUUGGGGAGAUGUGGAUAUAAGAUGUAGCUGUCUNANAAAUUUAAUAGUGAUAAUUAGUGUUUGAUCCUUCUUUGNGGAUUAGAAGAGUAAGUUACUUUAGGGAUAACAGCGUGAUUUUCUUUGAGAGUUCUUAUCGACAGGAGUAGUUGCGACCUCGAUGUUGAAUUAAAAUUUUAGUUAGGUGUAGUCGUUUAACUAGUGGGUCUGUUCGACCUUUAAAAUUUUACAU